This 460-nucleotide ribosomal RNA is filed under the name uncultured bacterium. RNAcentral describes it as "partial 16S ribosomal RNA". It matches the Rfam family "Bacterial small subunit ribosomal RNA", at positions 338 to 795 of the family's 1533-position model. The record is from RNAcentral.
CCUACGGGAGGCAGCAGUGAGGAAUAUUGGUCAAUGGGCGCGAGCCUGAACCAGCCAAGUAGCGUGAAGGAUGACUGCCCUAUGGGUUGUAAACUUCUUUUAUAUAGGAAUAAAGUGAGCCACGUGUGGCUUUUUGUAUGUACCCUAUGAAUAAGGAUCGGCUAACGCCGUGCCAGCAGCCGCGGUAAUACGGAGGAUCCGAGCGUUAUCCGGAUUUAUUGGGUUUAAAGGGAGCGUAGGUGGGUUGUUAAGUCAGUUGUGAAAGUUUGCGGCUCAACCGUAAAAUUGCAGUUGAAACUGGCAGCCUUGAGUACAGUAGAGGUAGGCGGAAUGCGUGGUGUAGCGGUGAAAUGCUUAGAUAUCACGAAGAACUCCGAUUGCGAAGGCAGCUUACUAGACUGCAACUGACAUUGAGGCUCGAAAGUGUGGGUAUCAAACAGGAUUAGAUACCCGUGUAGUC